Molecule: unclassified non-coding RNA, 669 nt
Filed under: Hevea brasiliensis (rubber tree)
Lineage: Eukaryota; Viridiplantae; Streptophyta; Magnoliopsida; Malpighiales; Euphorbiaceae
Source: RNAcentral
AGUUUCAAAAGAAGAAUACAAUGAAUUCUACAAAAAGACAUUCAAUGAGUUCUUGGACCCGAUUGGGUACACCCAUUUCACCACUGAGGGUGAGGUCGAGUUUAGAAGUGUUCUCUACAUUCCCGGAAUGGCACCUCUUAACAACGAGGAUGUUGUAAAUCCCAAGUCAAAGAAUAUACGCUUAUAUGUAAAGCGUGUAUUCAUAUCAGAUGAUUUUGACGGUGAACUGUUUCCCAGGUAUUUGAGCUUUGUUAAGGGUGUAGUGGAUUCCAAUGAUCUUCCUUUGAACGUCUCUCGUGAGAUCCUCCAAGAAAGCCGAAUAGUCAGAAUUAUGCGCAAGAGGCUUGUUAGGAAAACAUUUGAUAUGAUUCAAGAGAUAUCUGAAAGCGAAGACAAAGAGGAUUACAAGAAGUUCUGGGAGAAUUUUGGCAAGCUCCUCAAGUUGGGUUGUAUUGAAGACUCCGGAAACCACAAACGCCUCACUCCUCUGCUGCGUUUCUACUCCUCCAAAAGUGAGGAGGAUUUGAUAAGUCUAGAUCAGUAUGUAGAGAACAUGCCCGAGACUCAGAAGGCUAUCUAUUACUUGGCGACUGACAGUCUAAAAAGUGCUAAAACUGCACCAUUCUUGGAGAAGCUACUCCAAAAAGAUAUUGAAGUUCUCUACCUAGU